CUGGCCUCUAGCGGACGCGUCCGUGAAGUGCAAAAGAGUUGCAAUGGCAACCAUAACAGAGUUGAAGAGCGAAUCAGGUCAGCCUGAAGUUCCCCUGGACUGGCAGUUCAUGGCCAAUGAGCUCAAUGUCGCUGUAGAUUCAAGUGCCAAAGCUGUGCCUCUGCUGUAUAGUUUGCUCCAUCAUUUCCUCAGCAGUAAGGAAGAGAGCAAAGGAAAACUCUUCCUAACAAGCUCCACAACAGUGCCUUCAAAAGAGCCACACAGUCAUGUGAAUGCAGAUACAUCAUAACACUAAUAGAUGUCUUCCAGUUUCUAAGAGGCAACAUUUGCUGGAGGAAAUCGUAUGAUCACAAUUAAUCUGUCAAGGCGCGAUUUCGGUGUUAAAGUGGCCAAAAUACUCUGUUCAGCUUACUCUGGUUUUAGAUAUUAAGUGCAUUUUAUUUGUUUUGUUUGUAUUAGUGGUAUCAGUUGUAUGGCUUGAUCCAAAGUGAUUCAGUUUGACUUCUCAGCUGCACAUCUGAAAUAAGGCACAAUGGGAUUACAAUGAUUUUUUAGGUACAAUAAUUUAUAAUAUAGCAAUUUUUCAACUCUCAAUGUAAAUAGUCUUGACAUUCAAUCAAAUGAUCUUUAAUUGUAUGUUUUUGUACCAUUUAAAAAAAUAAAAGCAAAAUAAAUUUUA
This is a long non-coding RNA of Myxocyprinus asiaticus (Chinese sucker), 679 nucleotides long. RefSeq lists it as uncharacterized. The record is from RefSeq and is a predicted model, not a curated record. Lineage: Eukaryota; Metazoa; Chordata; Actinopteri; Cypriniformes; Catostomidae. The transcript is spliced from 4 exons.